Molecule: ribosomal RNA, 433 nt
Filed under: uncultured bacterium
Lineage: Bacteria
Description: partial 16S ribosomal RNA
Rfam family: Bacterial small subunit ribosomal RNA
Source: RNAcentral
AGCGAACGCUGGCGGCAGGCCUAACACAUGCAAGUCGAACGGAUCCUUCGGGAUUAGUGGCGGACGGGUGAGUACCACGUGGGAACGUGCCCUUUGGUUCGGAACAACUCAGGUAAACUUGAGCUCAUACCGGAUGUGCCCUUCGGGGGAAAGAUUUAUCGCCAUUGGAGCGGCCCGCGUCUGAUUAGCUAGUUGGUGAUGUAACGGCCCACCAAGGCGACGAUCAGUAGCUGGUCUGAGAGGAUGAUCAGCCACACUGGGACUGAGACACGGCCCAGACUCCUACGGGAGGCAGCAGAGGGGAGUCUUGCGCAAUGGGCGAAAGCCUGACGCAGCCAUGCCGCGUGAAUGAUGAAGGUCUUAGGAUUGUAAAAUUCUUUCAGCGGGGACGAUAAUGACGGUACCCGCAGAAGAAGCUCCGGCUAACUUCGUG